CCAGUGCCUCAUGUUUCUGGAAACGCUGCAGCAUUUGACUUCAAUUUUAAGCUGGAUAACCCCAAAGCUUUUCCUCAAAUUCGCCACUGGAGUAAGCUCAUAGAUGCUCUGAUUUUGUUUAUCGUUGCUCCUCCUUAAUAUCUCUUGCACAGGUGCCGUUGACCUUUAGAUGGGCUGUACAGUGUGGGGUUUGGUGCCUUGGAUCUGCUUCUUCAGGGACCAGGAUCUUGAGAUCUUCAGGCUGGGUUUCCAUGGAGGCAUGGAGCUGCUUUUCCUCCUUCAUAACUGUACUCAAAACAGCCCUGUUGCUCUAGAAUGGAGACUUGGGCAACUCCUACUGGCACAGAUUUGUUCACCUCAGAGGAAAUUCAGAUAGAAGCAAGCUGCAGUCAGUUUCACCUGUAAGUCCGUGGGUUCUCAACUGGUAAUGUCCUCUUAUGGAUGUUAGCCCACGAGGUCAGUCCUGUAGCAAUCUAAGGCUUGAGAAGAAUUAAUCUUCUGGAAAAUUCCAAGAAUACAUCUUAGGGAAACUGGCUCUACUUUUAUGACUUGGAUAACACAAGGAUAUGCUUUUCAUGUUGGACUAGAACUCAGAGUAUUGGCCAAUGGAUGUGUUUUCUAAAACUAUCCCAGUGAGUUCACCAUACAGUUGAAGAUUCUGAGAUUCAAGACUCAAGACUGAAGAAGAUCAUUAUUUUUAUUAUUUUAGUCUGAUGCGCAAAAUGGUAUCUACUGAAUAGGCAGGUUUUUAAUAGGUAGCUUAUAUAUAUUAGCAAAAAUAAACACUUUGUCUUUUAGAUCUAUUCCAGUUUUUCAGUAGCUGUAGACUUAAGUGCUAACUUUUAGCCCAUAGGAUAAGAAGAAACCAAGUCCUAAAAGUAGGCCAGCAUCAGGAUUCAGGCCUCUGACUUCAAGCCAAGGAUUCAUCAUCUUCAAUCAUGCACGAAUUUUUACAUAGCGCCAGAAGAAACUGCCUGUACUUACUGUUGUAGGUGCUUUGCUGGAUUCAGGAUGCAGACAAGGUCCACGCACUGUGGUUGGAGCCACUUUGUAUGAAUGCUGUGCACUUCCUGCUGUACCUUCAUCACAUCAGGGAGCAACAAUGUCUGGCCUUCUCGCUUUUAAUGUUGUUAAGAUUGGUGAGUGCAGGUGUCAAGGACCAAUGAGUCACCAAUACUCUACAUCUCUAUUGACAAUUUUCUCCAGAAUUCAGAGUCUGUGUUCUCUUAGGUGGAGCUACACCUACUCAAGCUGUAACCAAACUCACCUUGAAUGGAAAGAUGACCAAGCACUUCCUAAGUUCCAUGUACGGCAUGCGUGGCCUGCUCACUCCAUGAAGCCGGUGGCCAGGUCAAGGCCCUUGGAGCAGACCUCUGAGGAGAAGGCAAGGUGUCGUCCAGACACUCAGCAGCAGCGCACUAUUUUGGGCUGGGAGCUUGGUCUGGAAUGGAUCGGAUUUUCCUGAGGUCUCAUUUUUCCUUGAGUAGAAGGCGUGCCCCAGAGCAAGCAAUUUGACUUGGGCACAGAUGACCAAGUGCUUGGAUUUCUGGGAAUGACAACUGGAGCAUCACAACAGGUUAAUGACAAUGACACAGGAAGAGGCUCCAGGAGCAAAACCUAGGGGGGUUGGCUUCAGGAUUGGGUUCUGUCUGGCCUCCUCUGCUCUGUUGCAGGGCUGCACCAGAGUUGAAGAUGGUCGGGGGCCAAGCUGCUCCCCUGUGCACUGGCUUUCUGGGAGCAAAAGUAUGCUGGAAAUCCAAGCCUUCCUCUUGGCAGUGAUUGAAGGAAAUCACUAGAAAUACAGCAGUAUCCUGGGACACCCAAACAAGUGUGACCUAUGGGAUGCAAUCUCAAAGCAACUUUUAUUGUCAGUGUGCUGAUUUUUAUUUUUUCCUGGUCCUGGAUAAAAACUCAGCAGUCCUUAAGUUUUAUUAAAAAGAAAAUUUAGAAAUUAGAAAUUAGAAAAAUAUUGAAGCACAAUAUGAGGGUAAUGUGAGAUUAUGAAAGCACACAGAGACAUUCAUGCAGAAGCUGAACAGUGAAGAAGGACUGGGAGUAAAAGUGGAAACAUUCUUCUUUCCAGGGAUGAGCCUCAUGGUUUUGUGCAGCUGACAUUAGGCCUGGCCUGAGUCAAAAAACUCAUUGCCUCCCAAGAAGGAAAAGACAUGAAACAAAAUGGAUGGCUUCAGAAGCCGGCAUGGCCAUUACCUGUGUGACUUGGCAGGACAUCGUUUUGGGACUUCAGAAGGAGGCCAGGAGGAAGAGGAAACUGGAAAUAGGUGUGGCAGAAGCAGCAGGAUCCAGGCCAGGGUCACUUUCGAAGGUGAAAUCUAUUCCGGUAGCCUGGGCAAUGGUAGCAGUUUCCAGUACCUGCAGGCAAUGACAAUUCUCGUUCCGCCUGAGGCAAUGACAUUCCCAUUCCACCUGAUCUGUUUAGCCCCUUGCUGGAUGUGUAGGACAGAGUCUCACCUCCUGAGAAGGGGUCUGGGCAGGACUGCACAGAGCAUCAGUCCUUCCACCUGGACCUCUGGGCAGGGCUCCAGGCCCUGCGGGUAGACUGGAUGCAAUUUGGAACAUGGAGAUAGACAUGCUGCAUUCUGACUAGGGAGACCUGGCAGAGCUUAGGGGACUCCGACAGUGCAGAGACUGUGAGGGAGUCCAGGCUCACCUUGGGCUGCAUGGUCCUCCUGAGCAGCAGCAGGGACUGCUCUCCAGAUGGCAGGGCUAAGCCUGCAGAUUCUGGGGCUGCUGAGUGCCUACAGCCUAGGGUUGUGGAGAAAGUAGCACCUGACACCGGUUUAGAGAAGACAACCUGCCACUCUCUGAGUUACGGGCUGCAUUCACUCCACUUGAGGGUCUGAUACCGGAUGGAAUUUAGGGCCAUUAGAGGCAAGGACUGAGGGUCGGUAAGGCUGGAAGGUUGGUUGUAAGGUCAGUGAUAUGGCUGUUGAUGUGCAUGAAGAUGAAGAUGAUGAACCAGGUACCUGACAUCUGGCAGUUUAUAGACAGCAGAUCCCUAAAAGGGUGAGGCAGGAGGCAAGGCAGCUGUCCCUCGAUACCUACCAGCUGUGAUCAGAGUACCCAGGACACAUCCCUCUAGUGGGAACCAUGAGCUGAUGACUCUUGGACUCCCACUGGUUUUGCUUGGCUUGCACAGGGUUAAAAGCUGAAUUUAAAUGUCCUGGGUGGGGCCUGUGUUUUCCAGGCCCACCAGUCUCAUCUGAUACCUAGACAGCUUUACUCAGAUGUGCCACCUGCCUGGGCGUGGGUGUCCGGGAACUGUCACGGGAGUGCCGCCAGCCUGGUUUUGUUGUCCCAUGCAGAGGCAGUGGUCCAGCUUCAGACUCUUAGCUGUAGGAGUGACAGUGCAGUGAGAGUGGGCCUUGCCCUUCCCUGCCUCCCCUCUGCAAACUGUUUCCCCAGGACAGGACCCAGAAAUGCCCCCCAGCAGCCCCACCACCAUCCUGCUGAAUCUGGAAGGGGAGAGCAGAGAGGAAAAGAGAAGAGAGUUUGUGGAGAAACAGGGUGAGACAACGAUUGGAAGCAGGCAGGGAAGACCAAGGGAAAGAUACGACCUUCUCCUGGGAGUCCAGAUGUGAUUCUGUUAUGUCCGGGAGCUCCCAUACAUGUAUUUUUCAGGCCCUGGGAUUUUAGUUACAAAGUUCUGCAUGACCUGUUAGUGAGGUGGGUUGGUAGCACAGGGCUAGGAGUGAUGGUUCACACACGAUUCUUCAAGGGCCUGGUAGAGGGGUGCCUCCAAGAGGGGGAGCUUCAGGGCCAGGGAAAUACGCAGACCAGAGCAGAGCUGAAUGGUUAAAACAGGGGGAGUUUGUUCUUCUUCACUGCCCAGACUGCCCCCGUCCCAGCUGCCAGCACCAUCCACAGGAGGUGGGCUGUAAGUGUGAAAUGCACGGCAGACACACAUGAGCUCAAAUACCUGGCCUGAAGAGAAGAAAGCAACCAAUCCCAUUAAUAAGUUAUGUGAAGGUUACAUG
Molecule: long non-coding RNA, 3995 nt
Organism: Cercocebus atys (sooty mangabey)
Lineage: Eukaryota; Metazoa; Chordata; Mammalia; Primates; Cercopithecidae
Exons: 5
Source: RefSeq, a predicted model, not a curated record